CCUACGGGAGGCAGCAGUGGGGAAUAUUGCACAAUGGGGGGAACCCUGAUGCAGCGACGCCGCGUGAGUGAAGACGGAUUUCGGUAUGUAAAGCUCUAUCAGCAGGGAAGAAAAUGACGGUACCUGACUAAGAAGCCGCGGCUAACUACGUGGCAGCAGCCGCUGGAAAACGUAAGGCGCCAGCGUUAUCCGGAUUUUCUGGGUGUAAAGGGAGCGUAAACGGUUAUGCAAGUUCGAAGUGAAAGCUCAAGGGUCAACCAUGGGCGUGCCUUGGAAACUGUAAAACUGGAGUGCAGGAGAGGUAAGCGGAAUGCGUAGUGUAGCGGUGAAAUGCAUAGAUAUUAGGAGGAACACCAGUGGCGAAGGCGGCAUACUGGACUGUAACUGACGUUGAGGCUCGAAGGCGUGGGGAGCAAACAGGAUUAGAUACCCCUGUAGUC
RNAcentral lists this ribosomal RNA (440 nucleotides) under uncultured bacterium. Its description in RNAcentral is "partial 16S ribosomal RNA". It matches the Rfam family "Bacterial small subunit ribosomal RNA", at positions 338 to 795 of the family's 1533-position model. The record is from RNAcentral.